CCGAGUUUACAACUCCCAAACCCCUGUGAACUUAUACCUUUACUGUUGCUUCGGCGGGACAUUGCCCCGGGGAGUCAGGUGCCGUCAGGUCCCUGCCCACCCGGAAACAGGCGCCCGCCGGGGGACUCAAACUCUUCUGUAUUUUUUUUUGUUUUACUGUAUACCGUCUGAGUAAAAAAUUCAUAAUGAAUCA
RNAcentral lists this unclassified non-coding RNA (193 nucleotides) under uncultured Paecilomyces. RNAcentral's name for it is "sequence contains ITS1". Lineage: Eukaryota; Fungi; Ascomycota; Eurotiomycetes; Eurotiales; Thermoascaceae. The record is from RNAcentral.